RNAcentral lists this ribosomal RNA (244 nucleotides) under uncultured bacterium. Its description in RNAcentral is "partial 16S ribosomal RNA". It matches the Rfam family "Bacterial small subunit ribosomal RNA", at positions 29 to 292 of the family's 1533-position model. The record is from RNAcentral.
AACGAACGCUGGCGGCAGGCCUAACACAUGCAAGUCGAACGAGAAGCCACCUUCGGGUGUGGACAGUGGCAGACGGGUGAGUAACGCGUGGGAACGUGCCUUUCGGUUCGGGACAACCCAGGGAAACUUGGGCUAAUACCCGGACACGCCCUUCGGGGAAGAUUCAUUGCCGAAAGAUCGGCCCGCGUCGGAUUAGCUAGUUGGUGGGGUAAAAGCCUACCAAGGCGACGAUCCGUAGCUGGUC